AUCACCUAGGGAUUUUGUUAAAAUGCAGAAUCUGGUUCUAUAGGUUUAGAGUAGGACCUGAGAUUCUGCAUUUCUAACAAGUUCCCAGGGAUGCUGA
Pteropus alecto (black flying fox) is the source of this 97-nucleotide non-coding RNA. Lineage: Eukaryota; Metazoa; Chordata; Mammalia; Chiroptera; Pteropodidae. The record is from Rfam.